UUUUGCCUACGGGAGGCAGCAGUCGGGAAUAUUGCGCAAUGGAGGAAACUCUGACGCAGUGACGCCGCGUAUAGGACGAAGGUCUUCGGAUUGUAAACUAUUGUCGUUAGGGAAGAGAAAGGACAGUACCUAAGGAGGAAGCUCCGGCUAACUACGUGCCAGCAGCCGCGGUAAUACGUAGGUGGCAAGCGUUAUCCGGAUUUACUGGGUGUAAAGGGCGUGUAGGCGGGGACGCAAGUCAGAUGUGAAAACCACGGGCUCAACCUGUGGCCUGCAUUUGAAACUGUGUUUCUUGAUUACUGGAG
RNAcentral lists this ribosomal RNA (305 nucleotides) under uncultured bacterium. RNAcentral's name for it is "bacterial SSU rRNA". It matches the Rfam family "Bacterial small subunit ribosomal RNA", at positions 333 to 654 of the family's 1533-position model. The record is from RNAcentral.